Molecule: ribosomal RNA, 394 nt
Filed under: uncultured Alphaproteobacteria bacterium
Lineage: Bacteria; Pseudomonadati; Pseudomonadota; Alphaproteobacteria
Description: bacterial SSU rRNA
Rfam family: Bacterial small subunit ribosomal RNA
Source: RNAcentral
GAGUUUGAUCCUGGCUCAGAUUGAACGCUGGCGGCAGGCCUAACACAUGCAAGUCGAACGGGAUCUUCGGAUCUAGUGGCGGACGGGUGAGUAACGCGUGGGAACGUACCCUUUGGUUCGGAAUAGCCCUGGGAAACUGGGAGUAAUACCGGAUACGGUCGAGAGACGAAAGAUUUAUCGCCGAAGGAUCGGCCCGCGUUGGAUUAGGUAGUUGGUGGGGUAAUGGCCUACCAAGCCGACGAUCCAUAGCUGGUUUGAGAGGAUGAUCAGCCACACUGGGACUGAGACACGGCCCAGACUCCUACGGGAGGCAGCAGUGGGGAAUCUUAGACAAUGGGGGAAACCCUGAUGCAGCAAUGCCGCGUGUGUGAAGAAGGCCUGCGGGUUGUAAAGC